Molecule: transfer RNA, 72 nt
Filed under: Anaerolineales bacterium
Lineage: Bacteria; Bacillati; Chloroflexota; Anaerolineae; Anaerolineales
Description: tRNA-Cys
Rfam family: tRNA
About the family: Transfer RNA (tRNA) molecules are approximately 80 nucleotides in length. Their secondary structure includes four short double-helical elements and three loops (D, anti-codon, and T loops). Further hydrogen bonds mediate the characteristic L-shaped molecular structure. tRNAs have two regions of fundamental functional importance: the anti-codon, which is responsible for specific mRNA codon recognition, and the 3' end, to which the tRNAs corresponding amino acid is attached (by aminoacyl-tRNA synthetases). tRNAs cope with the degeneracy of the genetic code in two manners: having more than one tRNA (with a specific anti-codon) for a particular amino acid; and 'wobble' base-pairing, i.e. permitting non-standard base-pairing at the 3rd anti-codon position.
Source: RNAcentral
GGCGACGUGGCCAAGUGGUAAGGCAGGGGCCUGCAAAGCCCUUAUACGCGGGUUCGAAUCCCGCCGUCGCCU